CCGUGCUUUCUCUGUUAUAAAUAUAUGACGUGGAAGUUGCAAAGUACUUCUUGCUUUUUCUUCGAGUUCUCAUCACCUAGGUAAUGACACUUCCCGCUUAAUUUUUCCCUGCCUCGGGCACCUUUACUCGGGGUUGGCGGCUUCCCCUCCACGCCCUUCCCAACUUAAUUAAUUUCUGGGUUGUGUGCUGCUGUUUGAAUCACCCUCAAGCUAUUAAUUUGCUUUGUUUCCAGAGCCAACAGUCACAUGCUCGCCACAGUAUAUCAUUGCUGAAUUCAAAAGAAGCAAUUAUCCGGAUCUUGAAUCCUCAGAGAUGCAUCUAACAGAUACAAGUUGCUCGGCCGAGUCCGAAAACGACACUUACAUAACCUUCCACAUUCCUUUCCGAAAUUGCUCUACUGUCAGGGUACAGACACCUGACCACCUGGAGUACAGAAAUGAGGUUAUGCGUCGUAUAACGCAGGGGGUAAUUACGUACAAAAUGGAUAUGAAUUUUCCCAUCACCUGCAGGUAUGACCGGAAUGUUACGUUGAACGACUUGGAUAUUGAAGUCGAAGAAGAGGAAGAAGAAACUGAAGAACCAACCGAUUCAGGUGCCCGACUUCAACCUUGUCACUGGUUACUGGUUACUCUGUGGCUAUCUGGAGCUUUUCUCUACCGGGCAUCGAUUGCUGGACGCGGGCAGUUCUGAUGAUCAGUUCAGCAGUUCUUGUAAUGAUCGAGUUUUCAGGUGGCAUCUCCGGAAAAGUUUGGAAAUUCCUGGAAUUGGCAAGAAAUAUCUGAGAUGUCUUAUAAUGUAGCUGAUUUGAUAGGAUUAUUCACAAAACUUAGCAAAAUCUAGAACAGUUUUUUUAAAUCGUAAGUGUCUUAUGGCAUAUGUAGGUCUGUAAAAAAUUAGGCAUUAUUGACAGCGAAAUGAAGCAUCAAAGUAGAUACAAGCCGAGGGAGGGGAGAGGGCGGAGAGAGUGAAAAGUGAUCAAGUCUAUGCUUAUACGCUCUCGUAGUUUCCGUGCAACAAUAUCCAGUUUCAUAACGGCAGACCAUAAUAGCAAGGUUCGUUUUCAGACCACAGCAGCUGCAAUACUAUAUUCCUCGGUUUGGCAUAUAUACCAGUAUGGUUUUUACAGGACAAUAGAAGACGAAUCCUCUCGGGGUUAUUUGCACUCCCUUGGCGCUUAUUCGAAUUUAAGAUAUCUCAGCCCUUUUCACAACUAACGUUUCUCAUUAACAUUGCAAUGUAAUUGCAAAGAAGAUGAGAUGAAAUUUACAAACUGCUCGAAAUUGCCUCACGAGCAAGCUGGGAGUUCUAUUGUAAUGUAAUAUUGGAAUAUAGAUAAGAGAAGUUAACCGUUAAAAUGGCUAAAGGGUGCUUUCAUUCAAAUGGCCAUCAGCCAUGCAAAUUUAUUGGGAAAAAAUCACUCUCUAUUUUCCAAUUGCCCGUAA
Molecule: long non-coding RNA, 1443 nt
Filed under: Orbicella faveolata
Lineage: Eukaryota; Metazoa; Cnidaria; Anthozoa; Scleractinia; Merulinidae
Description: uncharacterized LOC110043178, transcript variant X1
Source: RNAcentral